AAGGGUGCGUAGGCGGCCUGUUAAGUCAGGGGUGAAAUUUUUCGGCUCAACCGGAAACUUGCCUUUGAUACUGAUGGGCUUGAAUGCAGCUGAGGUAGGGCGGAAUGUGACAAGUAGCGGUGAAAUGCAUAGAUAUGUCACAGAACACCAAUUGCGAAGGCAGCUUACUAAAGUGUGAUUGACGCUGAGGCACGAAAGCGUGGGGAUCAAACAGGAUUAGAUACCCUUGU
This 230-nucleotide ribosomal RNA is filed under the name uncultured bacterium. RNAcentral describes it as "partial 16S ribosomal RNA". It matches the Rfam family "Bacterial small subunit ribosomal RNA", at positions 563 to 791 of the family's 1533-position model. The record is from RNAcentral.